CACGUAGGGCGCAAGCGUUGUCCGGAAUUAUUGGGCGUAAAGAGCUCGUAGGCGGUCUGUUGCGUCUGCCUGUGAAAACCCGGGGCUUAACCCCUGGCUUGCAGUGGAUACGGACAGACUAGAGGUAGGUAGGGGAGAAUGGAAUUCCCGGUGUAGCGGUGAAAUGCGCAGAUAUCGGGAGGAACGACCGGUGGCGAAGGCGGUUCUCUGGGCCUUACCUGACGCUGAGGAGCGAAAGCGUGGGGAGC
This 248-nucleotide ribosomal RNA is filed under the name uncultured bacterium. Its description in RNAcentral is "partial 16S ribosomal RNA". It matches the Rfam family "Bacterial small subunit ribosomal RNA", at positions 524 to 769 of the family's 1533-position model. The record is from RNAcentral.